This 253-nucleotide ribosomal RNA is filed under the name uncultured bacterium. Its description in RNAcentral is "partial 16S ribosomal RNA". It matches the Rfam family "Bacterial small subunit ribosomal RNA", at positions 524 to 776 of the family's 1533-position model. The record is from RNAcentral.
UACGUAGGGUGCUAGCGUUGUUCGGAAUCAUUGGGCGUAAAGCGCGCGCAGGCGGUCCUUUAAGUCUGAUGUGAAAGCCCACGGCUCAACCGUGGAGGGUCAUUGGAAACUGGGGGACUUGAGUACAGAAGAGAAGAGUGGAAUUCCACGUGUAGCGGUGAAAUGCGUAGAUAUUGGGAGGAACACCAGUGGCGAAGGCGGCUACCUGGACCGGUUCUGACGCUGAGGCGCGAAAGCGUGGGUAGCAAACAGG